Ochotona curzoniae (black-lipped pika) is the source of this 928-nucleotide long non-coding RNA. RefSeq lists it as uncharacterized. NCBI's taxonomy places the organism in Eukaryota, Metazoa, Chordata, Mammalia, Lagomorpha, Ochotonidae. The record is from RefSeq and is a predicted model, not a curated record. The transcript is spliced from 3 exons.
AGAGAGAAAGAUGAAGACUUCAGGGUCCAGUGCGCUCCAUCUACACAAAGGUUGCUGGAAGAGAACAGCUUUGCUUCUGCACACUGGCCCUGCUUGCAGCUGGAGGGUCAGCUUGCCAAUGAGGUGGGGAGGCAGCAGCCGAGUCAGGUUUGGAGACUCACAUCAGAGAUCCGAUGGCUCCUUCUGGGUGGGUGUCCAACAAGGGUGCCCACGAUAGGAUCCAUGAGACAAGAGGAUCAUACAGAGAAAGGAGGCAAAGAGUCGCUCGGCCCAAACGUGGGCUUCUAUGCCAGUGGUCCCGCGAGAACUCCCACAAACCGGUGAUGCAAGAACCUCAUCCAGUGCAGGCUCCACCCCACCCAGUCACGUCACUCUGGGGACCACACCUUUACUAUGGGGGUAUUGGAAGACCACCCAGCCCCCACUUUCCCUGGUGCUGGAAGUCUGCAAGCCACAUUGUUGUUAACACUUCCCCAUAGUGGAGAUCUGCUGGGCACUGGUGGGGUUUGCAACCCUGGGCUUCAUGGACUGAAUAUUCAGAAAGGUUUUGCAUUGCUGUUUCUACACACACACACACACACACACACACGCAUGCACUGUAUCUCUUUCUCUCUAAAAUUCCUGUGCUUUGAGUAUUGGCGCUCUCAUAUCCAUUUUCUAGUUUUCUUACUGAUUUCCGGGAUGUACUCUGUGCAUGCUCUGGAGUGCAAGUUCCCCAGCUUUACCUCAUUCCCGCCCGCAGAGUUGUUCCUGCUAUUAUGUUUUUCCCCAGGAGCGCUCUGUUCCCUGCGUUCCUCUGUGAUGGCGUCAUGUUCUUUGCUCGCGGAUGCACGCUCUUCUGUCAUCUCCUUGGAUUGGGAGGGUUUUGUUUUCCUGGUGAUUCCACUGUAUGAUUUAGAGCAAUCAUAAAUACGUCACACUGCUUGCA